This 1167-nucleotide ribosomal RNA is filed under the name Glaesserella parasuis. RNAcentral's name for it is "partial 23S ribosomal RNA". Lineage: Bacteria; Pseudomonadati; Pseudomonadota; Gammaproteobacteria; Pasteurellales; Pasteurellaceae. The record is from RNAcentral.
RGUUAAGUGACUAAGCGUACACGGUGGAUGCCUAGGCAAUCAGAGGCGAAGAAGGACGUGCUAAUCUGCGAAAAGCUUGGAUGAGUUGAUAAGAAGCGUUUAAUCCAAGAUAUCCGAAUGGGGAAACCCGAUGGAUGAAGAAUCCAUCAUUUCAUUAUGAAUCCAUAGUAAUGAAAGGCAAACCGGGAGAACUGAAACAUCUAAGUACCCCGAGGAAAAGAAAUCAACCGAGAUUUUGUCAGUAGCGGCGAGCGAAAACGAAAGAGCCAGCAAGUGAUAGCAGCAAAGACAGAAGAAUUGGCUGGGAAGCCAAGCGACACAGGGUGAUAGCCCCGUAUUYKAAGUUUWUGUUGUGGUACUAARCUUGCAACAAGUAGGGCGGGACACGAGAAAUCCUGUUUGAAGAUGGGGGGACCAUCCUCCAAGGCUAAAUACUCCUGAUUGACCGAUAGUGAACCAGUACUGUGAAGGAAAGGCGAAAAGAACCCCAGUGAGGGGAGUGAAAUAGAACCUGAAACCGUGUACGUACAAGCAGUGGGAGCUCUUUGGGGUGACUGCGUACCUUUUGUAUAAUGGGUCAGCGACUUAUAUUUUGUAGCGAGGUUAACUGAAUAAGGGAGCCGAAGGGAAACCGAGUCUUAACUGGGCGGWKAGUUGCAAGGUAUAGACCCGAAACCCGGUGAUCUAGCCAUGGGCAGGUUGAAGGUUGGGUAACACUAACUGGAGGACCGAACCGACUAAUGUUGAAAAAUUAGCGGAUGACUUGUGGCUGGGGGUGAAAGGCCAAUCAAACCGGGAGAUAGCUGGUUCUCCCCGAAAUCUAUUUAGGUAGAGCCUUAUGUGAAUACCUUCGGGGGUAGAGCACUGUUUCGGCUAGGGGUCCAUCCCGGAUUACCAACCCGAUGCAAACUGCGAAUACCGAAGAGUAAUGCAUAGGAGACACACGGUGGGUGCUAACGUCCAUCGUGGAGAGGGAAACAACCCAGACCGCCAGCUAAGGUCCCAAAGUCUAUAUUAAGUGGGAAACGAAGUGGGAAGGCUUAGACAGCUAGGAUGUUGGCUUAGAAGCAGCCAUCAUUUAAAGAAAGCGUAAUAGCUCACUAGUCGAGUCGGCCUGCGCGGAAGAUGUAACGGGGCUAAAAUAUAGCACCGAAGCUGCGGCAUCAG